UAUUUGAUUUUAGUUUUAAAUAAUAAUAAUUUAAAUAUAUUUUUAAACUUUUAAGAUAUGUGAUUGAAUAACAACUAUUAUUUUUGGCACCAUGUUUUAUUGUUGCUUUAUCUACAUUGAGAUAAAACUGCAAAGAAAAUAUUUUUAAAAAAAUUGUAUUAAAUUAUCUUUAUAUCUUUAUUUUGAUAAUUAAUUUUUUAUUAUAAACUUAUUGUCAUAUGUCUUGUCUUCAUAUAGUCUUAAGUAAAUAAGUUGAAUCAAAUCUUCUAAUGUCAAACCUAAUUUCUUUUGUUUUAAAAAUACCACUUUACUUCUAAAUAGAUUACAAAUUGAUGAUCAAAUAUAAAUAUGAGAAAAAUGUAUAUUUAGAUAUAUAAAAUCUAUAAAUUCUUUAUAGUAGAAACUCUUUAAAUGCCUUUAUAUGGUGACUUAUUAUUAAAAAAAUCAGAUUUACUUCUGAUUUUAGAUUGAUUUGUUCUUUUAUCUAUUUGACUCUUUUGUAAUAGAAGCAUCCAAAUCUCUAAAUUUAGAAAAAAAUCUUAAUAUAUAUUUAUAUAUACACACAUAUGAUCUAUGGAAUUUUAUUUUUUAUUUUUUUGCAAUUUUUGUCUCAUUUAAUGAUGUUAUCUUGUGUGUUUUUUCUUUUUUCCUUUGUUCUUUAAUUGUGCAUAUUUGUGUUGCUUUCUCCCAUUAUUUUUCUAUUUUCUUUCUUUUAAUCAAUAUUGUCCAACUUCUCAAAUAUUUAUAGAAUAAUAUGCGUCUUCAGAGACACAAUCACUUUUAUUAUGGAUAAUAUGUUCUUUUGUCUUAUCUUCACUUUUUUGGCAUUUUUGUUCAAUUUGAGUGUAUAUCCAUUUUGCUUGUUGUCUAAUUGCACAACAAAAGCACAAAGAUAUAACAUUUUUUAAAUUAUUUAUUUGCAUAUUAAGAAAUCACUUAGUUUCCUCAGGUGUUUGUUUGCCUUGUGCAAGACCUUAACAAUUAAUGAACUCAAAAUAUUAUUAUCGUUCUUAUUAACUUUUUUGCUUCAUCACAUAUCAUUGCAAUUAUUCUGCAAUUGAUUAAUGAUUUUGUUAAGUAUUUCUAAAAUUAUUCCAGUCUUUCAAGUUUAUAAACAUAGUAUAGAAUUUCAAAAGAUGACUUUUGUGUAUGUACUUCCUGUUCUUUUUUUGAAAGAAUAAGCAAAUGUUUGGAUUGUUUGGGUAAAUCUUUUGUCAAUAACAUAGAUCUAUUGUUGUUUAAAUCAAUAACCUAUUUUAUGAUUUAUUGUUCAUGUUUAACAUAUGCAAGAUCUAUGCAUAAUAAGUGGAAAAUGGUAACAAAAUAUUAUAUUUUAAAACAUUACAUAACAAUAAUUUCAAUUAAUGAGAAACAUGAUUUAUAAAUUGGCAUCACUAUGUCCCAUAUUAUCAGCUACCAUAUCUUGGAAUAAAUUUACUUUAAAUUUAUUACAUAUAUCAUCAUUAAAUAUCACAAUCUUUAAUUUACAAUAUAUAUAUAUAUAUAUAUAUAUAUAUAUGAUAGAAUGUAUUAUUUAUACCUUUAAAACAUCUCAAAAGACAUAACAUAAAUUAUAAGCUUUUUUAGUCAAUAUUAUUCUUCAAUGUAUUGAGUAUAUUAUUCUUAAUUUUACUUUGAUGCUUAAAAAGUUAUAUAUAUAUAUAUAUAUAUAUAUAUAGACAUAGAAGAUUUUUUAUAAUAUUUAUUAAAAUUCUAAAAAUUCUAAAUGAUGUUGUGGUUUUAAAAUGUAUACUGAAAAUGAUUUUCUUUGCAUUAUUAUCAAUUUGAAUAAUUUUAUUUUUUGAGAUAAGUGGAAAAUGCAUAGUUUGAGAACCAAAUUGGAUGAUGUUAUUGUUAAAUUUAAUCUUUACAUAGUACUAUUCAUAAAUUAAAUCCAAUUUAUAUACUGAUAUCUUUAUUUAACUUUUAUUCACUUUAUAAUAAUUCAUAUAUGUGCAGAUAGUUUAAAUAAGCUUGCUUCUAUGUCCAAGUUUUUAAAAACAUUUCGUCUUAGUAAAUUAAAUAUCUGAUUUAAUAAGCUCAAUAAUAUAAUUUUAAAUGGUAAUAACAAUUUAUUAACCGUACUGAUAAUCCUAUUAAAUAUUUACACAAUCCAGUUUAAUCAUUCAUCUCGUUGAAAUUAUUUCAUGAUGAGCAAUUUUAUUAAAAAAUUGCAAUUGACGUCGAAAUCUACAUUGAAACAUAUCUCGUUUUUUUAUGUAUCUUAAUU
RNAcentral lists this long non-coding RNA (2230 nucleotides) under Physcomitrium patens. RNAcentral describes it as "long non-coding RNA (PPAT_LNC007205)". The record is from RNAcentral. Lineage: Eukaryota; Viridiplantae; Streptophyta; Bryopsida; Funariales; Funariaceae.